GUUUCUGUGAGGCCUAAUGCCCUCUGUUAUAUUGUUAUAUCUGUUAUAUAACUCAUUGGGGGGACAUCCCAUAACAAAAUCGCCUCACACAGUAUUGAUGUAAGCGGUGGUCCAGAUUUAAACAUAUAACAGCAUUAAAUUAAAUGAACAUUGCCAUGUUACUGACAUGUUAUAUUUACAUCUGACUUCCAAACAAAGCUAAUGUACCUCAGUAUGAACAUUAGCCUCUCGUCUGUCUGUGUGGUCCCUGUUUUAUGUACACGUUGUGUUUUCUUUAAUAAACUAUUUGAUUUAUUGCUUUAUAAACAACCUGGUUUUACAACCAAAUGCACUGAAUGGAGAAUGGAUGUGAAUAUAAGAUGCCGUUAACAAUCCCAGCUCAGUGUUUGUGACCCUCACGUUUAGUUGCUGUGUCAUGGCUCUUCUACCAGCCUGGAUGUAUUAAGGUUUCUGCUGAGAACAUCUGAGGAAGAUGGGCAUACAGACACACAGGGCUUUUAAGACCAAUGGCCAUUAGACUAAAACCACUGUCUGUGGCUUUCCAGUUGUUUGUCAAGGACUUCCUGCUUGGAGGGUCAUGUGACAGUUUCUAUUGAUAUCAUAACCUACACUCUCAGAAAUAAAGUAGGAAAUAUGUCAACAAAGAGAAAAAAACUGCUUGUCAGACCUUUUCAUGGGGUCUUUGAGAGGUUACUGAAUGCACUGAAGAGAU
Cyprinus carpio carpio is the source of this 712-nucleotide long non-coding RNA. NCBI's taxonomy places the organism in Eukaryota, Metazoa, Chordata, Actinopteri, Cypriniformes, Cyprinidae. The record is from Ensembl.